GACGAACGCUGGCGGCGUGCUUAACACAUGCAAGUCGAACGGAAAGGCCCUGCUUUUGUGGGGUGCUCGAGUGGCGAACGGGUGAGUAACACGUGAGUAACCUGCCCUUGACUUUGGGAUAACUUCAGGAAACUGGGGCUAAUACCGGAUAGGAGCUCCUGCUGCAUGGUGGGGGUUGGAUAGUUUCGGCGGUUGGGGAUGGACUCGCGGCUUAUCAGCUUGUUGGUGGGGUAGUGGCUUACCAAGGCGUUGACGGGUAGCCGGCCUGAGAGGGUGACCGGCCACAUUGGGACUGAGAUACGGCCCAGACUCCUACGGGAGGCAGCAGUGGGGAAUAUUGCACAAUGGGCGGAAGCCUGAUGCAGCAACGCCGCGUGCGGGAUGACGGCCUUCGGGUUGUAAACCGCUUUCGCCUGUGACGAAGCGUGAGUGACGGUAAUGGGUAAAGAAGCACCGGCUAACUACGUG
Molecule: ribosomal RNA, 468 nt
Filed under: uncultured bacterium
Lineage: Bacteria
Description: partial 16S ribosomal RNA
Rfam family: Bacterial small subunit ribosomal RNA
Source: RNAcentral